GCCACCGUAGCUCAGUGGUAGAGCACACCCUUGGUAAGGGUGAGGUCGAGGGUUCAAAUCCCUUCGGCGGCU
Molecule: transfer RNA, 72 nt
Filed under: Planctomycetaceae bacterium
Lineage: Bacteria; Pseudomonadati; Planctomycetota; Planctomycetia; Planctomycetales; Planctomycetaceae
Also listed under: 2 other names
Description: tRNA-Thr
Rfam family: tRNA
About the family: Transfer RNA (tRNA) molecules are approximately 80 nucleotides in length. Their secondary structure includes four short double-helical elements and three loops (D, anti-codon, and T loops).
Source: RNAcentral